Molecule: ribosomal RNA, 266 nt
Filed under: uncultured bacterium
Lineage: Bacteria
Description: partial 16S ribosomal RNA
Rfam family: Bacterial small subunit ribosomal RNA
Source: RNAcentral
CUUAGUGGCGAACGGGUGAGUAACGCGUGAGUAACCUGCCCUGGAGUGGGGGACAACAGUUGGAAACGACUGCUAAUACCGCAUAAGCCCACGGAUCCGCAUGGAUCUGCGGGAAAAGGAUUUAUUCGCUUCAGGAUGGACUCGCGUCUAAUUAGCUAGUUGGUGAGGUAACGGCCCACCAAGGCGACGAUUGGUAGCCGGACUGAGAGGUUGAACGGCCACAUUGGGACUGAGACACGGCCCAGACUCCUACGGGAGGCAGCAUG